This is a non-coding RNA of Delphinapterus leucas (beluga whale), 6276 nucleotides long. NCBI's taxonomy places the organism in Eukaryota, Metazoa, Chordata, Mammalia, Artiodactyla, Monodontidae. The record is from RefSeq and is a predicted model, not a curated record.
GAUGUCUCGGGCCGUUCAUCCUCCAGUCCCCUGUCCUGUUCAACUUGGUUCGUUAAGAAAUGACUCCUUGGAAGCACAGCUUCACGAGUAUGUCAAACAGGGGAACUAUGUGAAAGUGAAGAAGAUUCUUAAGAAAGGCGUGUAUGUCGAUGCAGUUAACUCCCUGGGCCAGACAGCGCUUUUUAUUGCAGCAUUAUUAGGCCUUACAAAAUUAGUUGAUGUCCUGGUGGAUUAUGGAUCAGAUCCAAAUCACCGCUGCUUUGAUGGGAGCACUCCUAUCCAUGCAGCAGCAUUUUCAGGCAAUCAGUGGAUCCUCAGCAAACUGCUGGAUGCAGGGGGUGAUCUUCGACUCCAUGAUGAGAAGGGUCAGAACCCGCAGACCUGGGCUCUGGCAGCAGGGAAGGAACGCGGCACCGCGAUGGUGGAGUUCAUGCAGCGCUGUGCUGCGCACAUGCAGGCCAUCAUCCAGGGCUUCUCCUAUGACCUCCUGAAGAAGAUUGACUCCCCUCAGCGGCUCAUCUGUGGCCUGCCCCGGUUUGGGGGCCUCAUGCAGGGAAGCCCUAAUGGCUCUCCUAACCGACUGCCUAAAGCUGGAGUCAUUUCUGCCCAAAAUAUCUACAGCUUUGGCUUUGGAAAGUUUUACCUCACAGGGGGCACGCAGCUGGCUUAUCUAGGAUCUCUUCCAGUAAUUGGAGAAAAGGAAGUGAUUCAAGCUGACGAUGAACCCACCUUCUCUUUCUUCAGUGGCCCCUACAUGGUCAUGACCAACCUUCUGUGGAACGGGAGCAGGGUCACAGUGAAGGAGCUGCAUCUUCCCACGCACCCGCACUGCCGCAGGCGGCGGCUGGCUGACUUGUUAAUUGCUGAGCUAGAGCACAGCAGCAAGUUGCGGCACCCUCACCUGCUACAGCUGAUGGCUGUGUGCCUGUCCCAGGGCCUGCAGAAGACCCGCCUCGUGUAUGAGCGCGUCGCCGUCGGCACGCUGUUCUCUGUCCUCCAUGAACGGCGGGCCCAGUUCCCCAUACUGCACAUGGAGGUGAUCGUGCACCUGCUACUCCAGACCUCCGACGCCCUGAGGUACCUGCAUUCUCGGGGCUUUAUCCACCAUUCCCUCAGCUCCUACGCCAUCCACAUCGUCUCCACAGGGGAAGCGAGGCUGACCAACCUGGAGUACAUGAUGGAAAGCCGGGAUGGAGGUGUACACAAGGACCUGACUCGAGUAUCCCUCCCCACCCAGCUUUACAACUGGGCCGCCCCGGAGGUGAUCUUACAGAAGGCAGCCACAGUGAAGUCAGACGUCUACAGCUUUUCUGUGAUCAUACAGGAGAUUUUAACAGACAGCAUACCCUGGGAUGACUUAGAUGGCUCAGUUAUUAAAGAAACCAUAGUGUUGGGAAAUUAUUUAGAAGCUGAUGUCAGGCUUCCGAAACCUUACUAUGACAUUGUUAAGUCAGGCAUCCAGGUCAAGCAGAAAGACCGAACUAUGAACCUUCAAGAUAUCCAGUAUAUUCUGAAAAAUGACUUAAAGGAUUUUAUUGGAGCCCAGAGAACUCAGCCAACCAAGAGUCCCAGGGUGCAGAGAUAUGAACUCCAUCCUGAUGUCAAUGUCUGUUUAGGAGUGACUUCAGAACAUCCAUUGCAAAUAAAAGAGCUGAAGGAAGCAGCAGGUGGCCAGCUUCAUUCACCAAGGGGUCACCCCACUCUCACCGAGAAAGCAGCACCAGAGCCUCUGGGCCCAGACCCAAGUCUGGAGGCCCAGGAGACACAGAACCAAGACGCUGCUUCUCCUGCUUGCUCUGUGGGGGGAGAGGCCAGGAGCCCCAGCCCAGGUCAGGCGAGCCUCUGCAGCUUCGAAAUCAACGAAAUCUACUCAGGCUGCCUGGACGUGGGAGAUGACAAAGAGGAAGAGCCCCCGGGAACUGGUUCAUCUGUUGAGGGGGCCAGACAAAACCAGGUAGAUGAACUGAAGUCCAUGGAAGAAGAGCUGGAAAAGAUGGAGAGAGAGGCGUGCUGUUUUUCCCAUGAGGACAGCAGCUCUUCAGAAGCUGACACGGAGCUCUCCUUUGAGGACUGGGGCUGGCAGAGUGGUUCACUGAGUUCACCCAGCCUGCCUGAGCCAGCCAGAGGAGCCAAGGGCAACGUGAGCAACAGGUCCCUGACCGAGCAGUACAUCAGUAAGUGUGUGCUGAAUCUAAAGAUUUCACAGACCUUAAUGCACCAGAAUGCCAAUUUGCUGAGGAGUAUUCAACAGAAAAUAGAUAAGCUUGAGAUGACACAGAAGGAGCAGGGGGGCAGGUCUCUGUGGGCUUCCUCAAGAGAGUUUGCAAACGGCUAUGACUGGCCUUCAGCCCUGGGCCCCCCAGCUUCAAGCUAUAUUCCUCCUGCCAUGCAGCUGCUAGGGAACCUGCAGCCGGACACUGAGGGCAACUGCCCGACCCUAGCAAAGUUUCCAAGAACAAUGAGAGACUUUCAAGGAGGACAUUUUGGCAAAAGGUCCAAGAAAAGAAGCAGCUGUGGCUGGACACCUUUCACCCCUUUCCCCCAAGUCCCUGAAGAAAGCACUAGGGAUCAGUCGGAGAAGGGCCAACAGCUGCCAUCUCUUUGUGGUCCUGGAAAACAGAGCAGAGGUGAACAGUUUCAGCCCACUCACGGAGCCAAGGACUGUUUGGAAAGAAACAGGAACCAAAAUACCAGCAGCCAGGGAAGGCCUAGAGAGUCCAGUGCCCGAACCAGAACGACACAGCUCAGUGGUGCACUCCUCACUGUGCCAGGCCACCCACAGGGACCGCUCAGGUCAUCCACCCCUGGCCGAGGCUCUUCCAGGAUCAGCAUGGAAUCUGUGUCUUCUAAAAUCUAUAACACAAAGUCAAGAAAUAAUGAAGAUGCUGGAGAGAUACACUUAAAAUGGAAAACGGAGGUGAAAGAAAUGGCAGAGAAAGCAGCUACUGGGCAGCUGGCAGUACCUCCUUGGCAUCCUCAGAGUAGUGUGACUUUAGAAAAUGAGGCUGAAAACAGGCCUGAUCCCCUGCUGCAGCCCCCCAUUAGGGUCCCUGAGCACGUGGAUUGGCAGCAAGCUGUAGAGCAUCCCAAGAAAAAUGAUGAGCCAGGAGGAAAUGGCAAGUGUGACAAAACAGACAGCAGUGACCGCAACAGUGACCAACAUGGCAGACAGCCAGGGCCUCGAAGUUUCACCGGUACCAGGCACCUGCCCCCCAGAAAAAAUGAGCAGCCAGAGCAUGGCGAAGUCUUUCAAGAAAAUUCGGAUGCACCUGUGGUUGUUGAGAAGUCUUACAGCGAUCAGUCCAUGCAAGCAACUUGUUCACCAGAGUCUUCUGAAGGCAUAACAGAUGAAGUUUUAACUCCAGACCAUGAAUAUUUUUACACCUCAACUGCUCAAGAAAACUUGGCUCUAGAGACCUCAAGUCCCAUUGAAGAAGACUUUGAAGGAAUACAACAUGCUUGUGCCCGACCUCAAGCCUCUGGUGAAGAAAAGUUCCAAAUGAGAAAAAACCUUGGAAAGAAUGCUGAAAUUUUGACCAGGUCUCAAUUCCAACCUAUACAAAGUAUUGAAGACGAACAAGAGGAGACAUUAAAGGAGUCACCAAAGGAAAUGAAAGAGAAAGACAUAUCACUGACAGACAUUCAAGACCUGUCUAGUAUCUCCUAUGAACAAGACGGUGCUUUUAAGGAAGUCUCAUGCAAAACACCCAAAAUAAACCACGCACCUACUAGUGUCAGCACUCCGCUCAGCCCAGGGUCAAUUUCUUCAGCUUCUAGUCAGUAUAAGGACUGUCUUGAAAGUAUCACGUUUCAGGUUAAAACAGGGUCUACCUCAUUCUGGAACAGUCAAGAAUCUAUUCAAACUUCGUCUGAUAAAUUUACAACUGUCCGAGAGAAAGCAAAGAGCCUAGAUUCCCUUCUUACUUCCUCUGAAACUCUUCCUUCAAGACUGACUAAUCUCAAAAGAUUGCCUGAAUUUACUGGGGCUGGUUCCUCCAGCAUUGCCAAGGCACCUGACACAUCAUCCCGUGCCACUCAGAGGAGGAGCCUGCCAAAAGAACUAGUAGAAACCAUCUCGCAACAUCACAUUGAUGAGCUACCACCACCAUCUCAGGAGCUGCUUGACGAAAUUGAGCACCUGAAGCGGCAGCAGGCCUCAUCCACAGUGUUGGAUGAGAACACAGCAAGUCAUCUGGGCAUCGCUGCAAGUGAUCAAAGGCAUUUAGAAGAACAAGAAACUAACAGUAAUAAAGAAGACAGCAGUAUGCUUUGGACCAAAGAAACUCAGGAUCUAGAAGAGGAUACAGAGAGAUCUUUCUAGCCAAAUAAGAGAAGAUGGAGGCAACCAUCCAGACAAUUCAGUCUGAAAACACAAGUUUGCCUCAAGAAACCCAAUUCCAUUCUUGACUUGGAGCUCUCCUUUGACCUGUGUUGUAAGGUAAACCACUUCAGAUCACCUCCUUUGCCUCCUAACAUUUCUUGCUUUGUCCGAACAGUUAUUCAGGGCCAGGACUGGAGGGAGGUGAGUGCAACACACUCCUUGGGCACAAAAUUGAAGGAGGCACCAAAAAACUCAGAAGUCAAGAAAAGUACUAUUUUGAUGCCAUAUUUUUAAAAAUCAAUACUAAUGCAAAAAAAAAAUCCAUGAUGAACAAAAUAUUUACGUUUUAAAGAAAGAGAGGCUAUGGAUCUACACUUACACCACUUGCUUCAUCCCCAUCCUGGACCAGCAAAUCCUUGGGGAAGCCCUGCAGAAUACUUUCAGCUGCAAACGUUAGAAAACCCCACCAUCGUGUUUAAAUGAGUUUGUCUCACAUGACAUGAAGCCCGGAGGUUGGCAGGGCAUGGCUGGCAUAGCAGCUCAAUGAUGCUACCAGGGACUUAGGCUCUUCUGAGCUUUCUGCUCUGCCAGACAUAGCAUGUUGGCCUUUGUUUUCAGGCUUGUCAACUCCUGGACAAGGUGGCUGCUAUCCAUACUCCAGGCAGAAAUAAGAGGGUGGGGCAAAGGAAUAGUCUAGCCAACUUUAUGUCUUUCUAUCUGGAAAGCAAAAGCUUUCCUAGAAGCCCUUCUCAGCAGAUGCCUACUUAUAUCUCCUUGGCCAGAUGUGGCGCAUGGCCACCCUUGGUUGCCAGGGAGACUGGAAAUUGAGUUUUUAGCUUUCAGCUGCUGUAGAAGAGGAAGGUAAAGGAGGAGAGUGUUAUGAAUAACUUUUGGGUAGUGAAUCCAGUUUCUGUCACACUCUUCAAGGGCUAAACUAUUCUCCACAAGGAAGGAAAAGAGAGAGACCUGGACAGGAAGUGAGGAGACUAGAGCCCUGGGACCUGAGAGGAAGUGGGGAGAGGUUUUUUUGUGUGUGUGUGGGGGUGAGACAGAGAAGACAAAGAGGCAAAGGGGGAGGAAGGUAAACUUUUAAAAGUUUUAUAAACCUUUUGUCUAUAAUGUACGAUGUAACUCCAUUCAUUCCAUCUCCCCCAAACACCUUCGGUAAAUAUCUAGCCAUUAUUUAAGGCAAAAGAAGAGUAGCUCAAGAAGGCCAAAUUACAUUUGGUUAUACAAAUAUGAAGUGCUUUGCGCAUUAUCAAAAGUUAGCUACUAUUAUCAUUGUCUCUUCCUUUUUCAGAAGGGCUGGCUAUGCUAGACACAGGUGGAUGCCCACAGAUGCUCAGUCAUCUCAGUCCUUGGCACCAAGCCAGAGUGGAAGAUAUUUUUUCAGAUGGUUGGGACUUUUCAGGCCUUCUGGAAACACAUUCUCUGCAUCCAGUAGCCUCAGAGGCAGUUCUUAAUCUGAAAAACUUGUGGGAAUGAGUGUGCAUUUCUAGCCUCAGGUGGAAAUUGAUGUAAUGAUCUAGAAUUGAGACAGAGUCUAAUAUCACACUUUGGGCUUUUUUGUCAAGAGGAGGGUUUUUUGUCAAGAGGAGGGUUCUGGUGCACAUUUAAAUCGGAUCUAAGUGACCACUACAACUCCAGGUACAGUCCCACCGAGCUCUCAUUUUCUCAUGGGUAUAGUGAAAGCAGGAGUUUGAAGGUCCUUUCCCGCCCUAGAGUGCUAUGCCUCCUUGUCAGGGGAGAAGGGGAGUGACUGCUGUCUCAAUUCUCUUCACUUGCCCCUGCACAGAGCCCACUCUACGCUUGAUGAGGACCUGGAAAGGUGGCUGCAGUCGCCUGAGGACAGCACGGAGCUACAGGGUCUCCCCAAGUGCUCGGCAAGGGAGACAAAUACCAAAGAUCAAGAAGUUGGUGAAAAGAAGAGAAAAGGGGAAGAAAGCAUCACGCCA